This 505-nucleotide ribosomal RNA is filed under the name uncultured Rhodocyclales bacterium. RNAcentral describes it as "bacterial SSU rRNA". It matches the Rfam family "Bacterial small subunit ribosomal RNA", at positions 384 to 879 of the family's 1533-position model. The record is from RNAcentral. Lineage: Bacteria; Pseudomonadati; Pseudomonadota; Betaproteobacteria; Rhodocyclales.
UGAUCCAGCCCAUGCCGCGUGAGUGAAGAAGGCCUUCGGGUUGUAAAGCUCUUUCGGCCGGGAAGAAAUCGUGGUCUCUAACAUAGGCCAUGGAUGACGGUACCGGACUAAGAAGCACCGGCUAACUACGUGCCAGCAGCCGCGGUAAUACGUAGGGUGCGAGCGUUAAUCGGAAUUACUGGGCGUAAAGCGUGCGCAGGCGGUUUUGUAAGACAGAUGUGAAAUCCCCGGGCUUAACCUGGGAACUGCGUUUGUGACUGCAAGGCUAGAGUACGGCAGAGGGGGGUGGAAUUCCUGGUGUAGCAGUGAAAUGCGUAGAGAUCAGGAGGAACACCGAUGGCGAAGGCAGCCCCCUGGGCCUGUACUGACGCUCAUGCACGAAAGCGUGGGGAGCAAACAGGAUUAGAUACCCUGGUAGUCCACGCCCUAAACGAUGUCGACUAGUCGUUCGGAGCAGCAAUGCACUGAGUGACGCAGCUAACGCGUGAAGUCGACCGCCUGGGGA